GGGGUGCUUUCAGCCAAACACGUGAAGGAACUGCUUCUGUCCGAGGAGAACGGCUGCAGCCUCCCGGUGACUCCUCAGUCCAUCUCCGACCUCAAGUCUCUGGCCACGGCUCUGUUGGAGACGAUCCACGAGAAGAACAUGGUGAUUCAGCACCAGCGCCAGAUCAACAAGAUUCUUGGAAAUCGAGUCGCAGACCUGGAGAAGAAGCUAAAAACAUUAGAGAAGUCCGGAUAUGGAGCCUGCCAGGUGGAAAUGAAUAAUGAUGUACUGAGACACAUAGUUGAUGCUAAUCUACAUCAGUGGACAGUACAUGCCUCUUUUAUUCUUUCUUCUGUCUUUAUUGCUGCCUGAAGGCCCUGACUUAUAAUGUGUCUCUGGGAAUAUAUUGGGAGUAUGUUCCAAUGUCUGAGUUCUUAAUAUCCGUUUCAAGCACUUUAACAUUUUAUUUCUUUUCCUUUAUUUAUGACGUAAAGAGCUCAGUCUGAAUAGUGUUUUGUUCUAACAGGAACAACCAGCAGCAUCCUGAGCUCAGAACAGGCUGAGUCACCAGAUGUUCCUGGAGAGGAAGGUCGACCCGCUGAGAUGCAGCGCUCCCCGGAGGUUUCAUGCGGGGACGGGUGAAACGCCGGCUUCGCCGAAGAGCCAGAUGUGCCGUCCGGCGCGGAACCCGCACAGCCCGUCAGCAGACGCGGAACCAGCGGGUCCUCGGACAAACGCAGCCCGUGUCACCGCUUCAGAGGACUGUCUGAGUCAGACGCCCCCCACGGUGACAGAUGUGGACGCCCCGCGCCUGACGGACCGCUGCCACUCGCGCCAGACUUCAGAGAGCUUGGGUCCGAACGAAGGAGGGCAGAAUGAGUCUGAUGAAGCAGCUGAGACGGAGACCGUUGGAACGGAGGAAAAGCAGCAGGAGCUCGUUCAGCCAAACCAACACACAGAACCUUUACAUGAUACAGAUGUGUGUGUUGGAAAGGAUGUCUGA
Molecule: long non-coding RNA, 982 nt
Filed under: Betta splendens (Siamese fighting fish)
Lineage: Eukaryota; Metazoa; Chordata; Actinopteri; Anabantiformes; Osphronemidae
Description: lncRNA (ENSBSLG00000008759.1)
Source: RNAcentral